RNAcentral lists this long non-coding RNA (411 nucleotides) under Medicago truncatula (barrel medic). RNAcentral describes it as "long non-coding RNA (MTRU_LNC007516)". Lineage: Eukaryota; Viridiplantae; Streptophyta; Magnoliopsida; Fabales; Fabaceae. The record is from RNAcentral.
GGAGAGCUUCGGCUCUGGAACGCCUUGUCGUUCAAAGUGGUGGAACACUAGUUGUUCAAAAGCGGUGUUGAGCGGUGAGGACUUAGGUCCUGAUGAGAAUGCUUUAACCAUUCGACAGCGGUGUGGGUCACGGCCCUGAUUAUGGUACCACAUGCAUAUUUGCAUUUAUUGAGGAGUCUAGGGUGUUGUCUUAGCGGUGUUGUCAUGUCCUUUGCAUGAGUCGGUGUUGUUGGUUGUAGUUGCCAUAUUGACGAUGAUGAUGUUGUUUGUUAGAUGAAGUAUAUAUUUAUACCUAUAUGAUGAUGAUUGAUUUGAUGAUGAUGAUGUUGUUUUAUGAAGUAUAUAUACAUAUGCAUAUAAGAUGAUGAACUGAUUAUAUUUAGGGUGUUAGAUUCAAUUGACGAAUUUUAA